This 69-nucleotide transfer RNA is filed under the name Marmota monax (woodchuck). RNAcentral describes it as "tRNA.Val". The stretch from base 5 to 66 matches the Rfam family "tRNA", at positions 6 to 65 of the family's 71-position model. From Rfam's summary of the family: Transfer RNA (tRNA) molecules are approximately 80 nucleotides in length. Their secondary structure includes four short double-helical elements and three loops (D, anti-codon, and T loops). Lineage: Eukaryota; Metazoa; Chordata; Mammalia; Rodentia; Sciuridae. The record is from RNAcentral.
GGCAUAUAGCUCAGUUGGUAGAGUGCUUGUCUCACAUGCAUAAGGCCCUGGGUUCAUUCCCCAGUACCA